Molecule: ribosomal RNA, 514 nt
Filed under: Fulvius discifer
Lineage: Eukaryota; Metazoa; Arthropoda; Insecta; Hemiptera; Miridae
Description: partial 16S ribosomal RNA
Source: RNAcentral
GGUUUUUUGAUAUUUUUAAAAGAUUUGGCCUGCCCACUGAUUUAUAGAUUAAAUGGCUGCAGUAUUUGGACUGUACAAAGGUAGCAUAAUCAUUUGUCUUUUUAUUGAAGACUGGAAUGAAUGGUUUGAUGAAAUAUAAUCUUUCUUUAAUUUAAUUGAAUAAUUUGAUUUUUAAGUCAAAAAGCUUAAAUGGAUUUAAGGGACGAGAAGACCCUAUAGAACUUUAUUUAUAAUUUUUUUUGAAUUUUUUAGGUUUUAAAUUUUUCUUAAAUUUUUAUAAAUUGUAUUGGGGUUAUUGAAAAAAUAUCAUAAUUUUUUUUUAUUUUAAACAUUUAUUUUUGUAAAAAUGAUCCAAUUUUAUUGAUUAAAAGAUUAAGUUACCUUAGGGAUAACAGCGUUAUUAUUUUGGAGAGUUCUUAUUGAUAAAAUAGUUUGCGACCUCGAUGUUGGAUUAAAAUUAAUCAUAGGUGUAGCAUUUUAAUGAUUAAGUCUGGCGGACGUUUUUUAACAUUUU